GAUGAACGCUAGCGGGAGGCCUAACACAUGCAAGCCGAGCGGUAGAGUCUCUUCGGAGACUUGAGAGCGGCGCACGGGUGCGGAACACGUGUGCAACCUGCCUUUAUCUGGGGGAUAGCCUUUCGAAAGGAAGAUUAAUACCCCAUAAUAUACUGGAUGGCAUCAUCUGGUAUUGAAAACUCCGGUGGAUAGAGAUGGGCACGCGCAAGAUUAGAUAGUUGGUGAGGUAACGGCUCACCAAGUCUACGAUCUUUAGGGGGCCUGAGAGGGUGAUCCCCCACACUGGUAUUGAGACACAGACCAGACUCCUACGGGAGGCAGCAGUGAGGAAUAUUGGACAAUGGGUGAGAGCCUGAUCCAGCCAUCCCGCGUGAAGGACGACGGCCCUAUGGGUUGUAAACUUCUUUUGUAUAGGGAUAAACCUAGAUACGUGUAUCUAGCUGAAGGUACUAUACGAAUAAGCACCGGCUAACUCCGUGCCAGCAGCCGCGGUAAUACGGAGGGUGCAAGCGUUAUCCGGAUUUAUUGGGUUUAAAGGGUCCGUAGGCUGAUUUGUAAGUCAGUGGUGAAAUCUCACAGCUUAACUGUGAAACUGCCAUUGAUACUGCAAGUCUUGAGUGUUGUUGAAGUAGCUGGAAUAAGUAGUGUAGCGGUGAAAUGCAUAGAUAUUACUUAGAACACCAAUUGCGAAGGCAGGUUACUAAGCAACAACUGACGCUGAUGGACGAAAGCGUGGGGAGCGAACAGGAUUAGAUACCCUGGUAGUCCACGCCGUAAACGAUGCUAACUCGUUUUUGGGUUUUCGGAUUCAGAGACUAAGCGAAAGUGAUAAGUUAGCCACCUGGGGAGUACGAACGCAAGUUUGAAACUCAAAGGAAUUGACGGGGGCCCGCACAAGCGGUGGAUUAUGUGGUUUAAUUCGAUGAUACGCGAGGAACCUUACCAAGGCUUAAAUGGGAAAUGACAGGUUUAGAAAUAGACUUUUCUUCGGACAUUUUUCAAGGUGCUGCAUGGUUGUCGUCAGCUCGUGCCGUGAGGUGUUAGGUUAAGUCCUGCAACGAGCGCAACCCCUGUCACUAGUUGCCAUCAUUAAGUUGGGGACUCUAGUGAGACUGCCUACGCAAGUAGAGAGGAAGGUGGGGAUGACGUCAAAUCAUCACGGCCCUUACGCCUUGGGCCACACACGUAAUACAAUGGCCGGUACAGAGGGCAGCUACACAGUGAUGUGAUGCAAAUCUCGAAAGCCGGUCUCAGUUCGGAUUGGAGUCUGCAACUCGACUCUAUGAAGCUGGAAUCGCUAGUAAUCGCGCAUCAGCCAUGGCGCGGUGAAUACGUUCCCGGGCCU
Molecule: ribosomal RNA, 1345 nt
Filed under: uncultured bacterium
Lineage: Bacteria
Description: bacterial SSU rRNA
Rfam family: Bacterial small subunit ribosomal RNA
Source: RNAcentral